GACGAACGCUGGCGGCGUGCUUAACACAUGCAAGUCGAACGGAAAGGCCCUGCUUUUGUGGGGUGCUCGAGUGGCGAACGGGUGAGUAACACGUGAGUAACCUGCCCUUGACUUUGAGAUAACUUCAGGAAACUGGGGCUAAUACCGGAUAGGAGCUCCUGCUGCAUGGUGGGGGUUGGAAAGUUUCGGCGGUUGGGGAUGGACUCGCGGCUUAUCAGCUUGUUGGUGGGGUAGUGGCUUACCAAGGCUUUGACGGGUAGCCGGCCUGAGAGGGUGACCGGCCACAUUGGGACUGAGAUACGGCCCAGACUCCUACGGGAGGCAGCAGUGGGGAAUAUUGCACAAUGGGCGGAAGCCUGAUGUAGCAACGCCGCGUGCGGGAUGACGGCCUUCGGGUUGUAAACCGCUUUCGCCUGUGACGAAGCGUGAGUGACGGUAAUGGGUAAAGAAGCACCGGCUAACUACGUG
This 468-nucleotide ribosomal RNA is filed under the name uncultured bacterium. Its description in RNAcentral is "partial 16S ribosomal RNA". It matches the Rfam family "Bacterial small subunit ribosomal RNA", at positions 28 to 507 of the family's 1533-position model. The record is from RNAcentral.